GUUAGGAUGGCCGAGAAGGCGGCGGAUUGUAAACCCGUUUACGGGGCCAGCUAGCCCCUCCAGCCA
RNAcentral lists this transfer RNA (66 nucleotides) under Hemidactylus frenatus (common house gecko). Its description in RNAcentral is "tRNA-Tyr". Lineage: Eukaryota; Metazoa; Chordata; Lepidosauria; Squamata; Gekkonidae. The record is from RNAcentral.